GUGAAUCAUCGAAUUUUUGAACGCAAAUUGCACUCUCUUCUGAGAGGAUGCCUGUUUGAGGUUCAGUAUCAAUAAAAAUCGGCGUUUGGCUCUUUUGUGACGUGCCGGAUUUUGGGUCAUCGUAUAACAACACCCUUUCAGGGUAUUUUUAAGAGGCUUAAACUUUACCUGUUUUGUUCAUUUUGGA
RNAcentral lists this unclassified non-coding RNA (187 nucleotides) under Glomeromycota sp. Its description in RNAcentral is "partial contains 5.8S ribosomal RNA and internal transcribed spacer 2". The stretch from base 1 to 65 matches the Rfam family "5.8S ribosomal RNA", at positions 84 to 154 of the family's 154-position model. Lineage: Eukaryota; Fungi; Glomeromycota. The record is from RNAcentral.